GCUGGGCAUGGUGGCCCACGCCUGUAAUCCCAGCAACUCAGGAGGCUGAGGCAGGAGGAUCACAAGUUUGAGGCCAGCCUUGACAACUCAGGCCCUAAGCAAUUUAGGGAGACCCUGUCUCAA
This 123-nucleotide small RNA is filed under the name Marmota monax (woodchuck). The record is from RNAcentral. Lineage: Eukaryota; Metazoa; Chordata; Mammalia; Rodentia; Sciuridae.